UCUAAACUGUUAUGUCAAGCUGGAAAUACCUGGAAUUCAUUUUUUCCCCACUUACAGAUAUACCCAACCAAACAUUCAGUGGAAAAAAAGAAUGUGAAGGACAACUCUCAUUCAGCUGUCAAUCAUAUCACUGUAUAAACCAGGUUGGAAUUAAACCACUUCAUUUUCCAGUCACCACUGCUUCAGAGAGAAGAAAUAUAGAAAUGGCAGGAGGAAUCUUAAAGUUACAAGCACAGAGCCUGGUCUCCAUCCUGCUGAUCUCUGAGGUGAAGGAGUCACUGCUUUAGAUAGUGCAAGAACAAGCCUUUUGCAGAACUUUCUAAGCUUCGCAUGUGGCACAAUUCAUCUCCCACUGUACUGUAGCCACUCUGUGUUCACAUUGUAAGA
Parus major (Great Tit) is the source of this 387-nucleotide long non-coding RNA. NCBI's taxonomy places the organism in Eukaryota, Metazoa, Chordata, Aves, Passeriformes, Paridae. The record is from Ensembl.